RNAcentral lists this unclassified non-coding RNA (328 nucleotides) under soil metagenome. RNAcentral describes it as "partial contains 5.8S ribosomal RNA, internal transcribed spacer 2, and large subunit ribosomal RNA". The stretch from base 1 to 121 matches the Rfam family "5.8S ribosomal RNA", at positions 35 to 154 of the family's 154-position model. The record is from RNAcentral.
GAUGAAGAACGCAGCGAAAUGCGAUAAGUAAUGCGAAUUGCAGAAUUUCCGUGAAUCAUCGAAUCUUUGAACGCACAUUGCGCCCCUUGGUAUUCCGAGGGGCAUGCCUGUUCGAGCGUCAUUUUGACCACUCCCGCUUGCGGGGUCUUGGGCCUUCGCCUCUGGGCGGGCCUUAAAAUCAGUGGCGGUGCCGUCCGGCUCUAAGCGUAGUAAAUCUCCUCGCUAUAGGGUUCCGGAGGGAUGCUGGCCAACAACCCCCAACUUUUAAGGUUGACCUCGGAUCAGGUAGGGAUACCCGCUGAACUUAAGCAUAUCAAUAAGCGGAGGA